UGUUCUUUCUGUGGAAGGAGUUCUCAUGC
This 29-nucleotide non-coding RNA is filed under the name Rattus norvegicus (Norway rat). Lineage: Eukaryota; Metazoa; Chordata; Mammalia; Rodentia; Muridae. The record is from RNAcentral.